CGGUUCCGGCUCCAAGUCUCGAUGAAUUGGAAAAUUGGUUGGGCAAAAACCUGCAUUUACCAAUAUCAUUAGCCAAUCAUUUUGGAGGUGCUUGUACUUUAAGGACCUGGUUGCUGGUCUGCAUGAAGGUGCCCAUGUGUCAACAGCAAGAACAGAACCUGUGUGCUAGUUGGUGGAUGAGCAUCAAGCCACACCUAGUGGGACCAGGUCAGGACAAUCUCUACUGAUGUUCAUCAUUCAAUUGGAUUUGUCUUGAUUGGCAGAAGAGGUGAAUCCACAUGUCAGGUUGAGGUCAGAGAGCUUGUUUUGCAUGAUGUGAUUUGAAGGUUCCUACCCAGUGCACCCACAUCUGACACUCAUCACAGUGUCGGAGGACAUGGUUGCUGUACCAAAACCACGCCCUUGAAAUGUCAAAGGUUUCUCUACCACAGCUAGUCAAUGGUGGGCUCACAGUGCAGAUCAUGUUUGAUCCUAUCGCUGCAGGCAAACUGUGAUGAUGCUGUUUGCAAGCUUCAUCAAGGAAUCAAAGCUCCCAGCUUUAGGUGUUUACCUGGAAAGCACCGAUGAGAUGGACGACGAUGCAUAUAUUCC
This is a long non-coding RNA of Musa acuminata subsp. malaccensis (wild Malaysian banana), 591 nucleotides long. RefSeq lists it as uncharacterized. The record is from RefSeq and is a predicted model, not a curated record. NCBI's taxonomy places the organism in Eukaryota, Viridiplantae, Streptophyta, Magnoliopsida, Zingiberales, Musaceae.